RNAcentral lists this transfer RNA (54 nucleotides) under Cyathostomum catinatum. Its description in RNAcentral is "tRNA-Val". Lineage: Eukaryota; Metazoa; Nematoda; Chromadorea; Rhabditida; Strongylidae. The record is from RNAcentral. RNAcentral also lists the same sequence under 1 other name.
AAACUUUUAGUUUAAUUAGAAUUUUUCAUUUACACUGAAAGGGUUAAAAGUUUU